Molecule: ribosomal RNA, 480 nt
Filed under: uncultured soil bacterium
Lineage: Bacteria
Description: bacterial SSU rRNA
Rfam family: Bacterial small subunit ribosomal RNA
Source: RNAcentral
AGGACGAACGCUGGCGGCGUGCUUAACACAUGCAAGUCGAACGGUAAGGCCCCUUCGGGGGUACACGAGUGGCGAACGGGUGAGUAACACGUGGGUAAUCUGCCCUGCACUUCGGGAUAAGCCUGGGAAACUGGGUCUAAUACCGGAUAUGAACUCCUGCCGCAUGGGUGGGGGUUGGUAAAGUUUUUCGGUGCAGGAUGAGCCCGCGGCCUAUCAGCUUGUUGGUGGGGUAAUGGCCUACCAAGGCGACGACGGGUAGCCGGCCUGAGAGGGUGAUCGGCCACACGUGGGACUGAGACACGGCCCAGACUCCGUACGGGAGCAGCAGUGGGGAAUAUUGCACAAGUGGGACGAAAGCCUGAUGCAGCGACGCCGCGGUGGGGGAUGGACGGUCUCGGAUUCGUAAACCCCUUUGAGUAGGGACGAAGCGACAAGUGACGGUACCUGACAAGAAGAACGCCGAACCGGACUAACCGUACG